CAAUCCUGUUCUCAUAUAAGAAAUGCUCGAUGCUGGCUUUAUUAGCAUUAAGAGAUCUACAAUUUAAUUAUUUAGCGUUGUCAACAUAUUAUAUUAGCCAAGCUCAACAUAAGACAAGAAAAGAUUUCUGUACUCGCAUUUCACUACGCAAAAGAUGAACUUGAAUUUGGCGCCAUUGUUGGCAGACCUGCGCCUAGUCGAGUGUCGGUGAAGAAAUUUUAUUCAACGUAAUGGGAAUGUUCUGCCGAACAAAAUCAUCCUACAUUUUAUAGCCAUGCAAGGUACACUGAGUAAGAAUUUUUAGCAAGUAAGUACCUGCUAGUUUUUGAUUGCGAUGGAUAUAAUCCUGAUAAGUAUGAUCAACUAUGCUGUUUUA
Long non-coding RNA from Ctenocephalides felis (cat flea), 376 nucleotides. RefSeq lists it as uncharacterized. The record is from RefSeq and is a predicted model, not a curated record. The transcript has 3 exons. Lineage: Eukaryota; Metazoa; Arthropoda; Insecta; Siphonaptera; Pulicidae.